UUUAAAUAUAAUAAAAGUCAUACCUAGGGGACACAUGUCCCCCAUCUAGAGCCUCUAAAACUCCUUUUCCAACCAUUUUCUAAUCCUCUUAUUUCCCUGAUGUGAAACCCGACUCGGGAUCCAUAUUAUCUAUCCGGGUCCUUUUUUUUCGUUCCAUAUAUAAAGCAACUAUCCAAUCAGUUUUUCCAUCUAUUCUUCUUCUCUCAUACGCUUUGGGAUUAUUAGGGUUUUUUUUCCUUUGUAUCCUUAUUUUACAGGAGCCAUUAUCUGAAUAAUUGAAGAUCUAAGGUUCUUAUUCGAAAAUCCACGCAAGCAUUAUACUGAUUAUUCGAACAAUCAUGGUAUGUAUUUUAGUCCUCUGUUACGCGUCUUUGAAUCGUUGUUUUGGCGUCGAUUUGGUUAUCAACAUCUCAGAUCUACAGUCUCUUGACGGCGUGUACGGUAUGGAAGGUUGGUGGUUGAAAUGUGUGUGGAGACGAAGCACUCAAAAAAGGUGAAAACCACGGCUACUGAAGGGGAAAACAAAAGUCACUGUUUGAUGUAUGCAACGCCUGGCUUGGGACCACGAAGUAUUAUCGUGCAUGGCUGAGAAGCAUGUGUGGCUGAUUUGGUGGGUAUGCAUAUAUUUUUAAAUGCUCAAAAAAGAGAAAAAGGCUUUUCAAGUCAUCAUUCUUAUGGGUUUGUGGUGUAUUUGGAAGUUGCGAAACAAUGUGGUUUUUAAUCAUAAUCCGGUUAUGAUGGCUAGAGUUGUUGAAGAGACCAACGCGUUGAGGUACUUAUGGGUUAAAGGUAUAUCAAAACGAGGCAUGGAUAGUUUUUGAUUUUUUUAAUCUUUUUGUUUUGUUUUGUUUUGUUUCUGUUUGGAGUUGUUUCGACGCAUGUUUUCGA
Helianthus annuus (common sunflower) is the source of this 888-nucleotide long non-coding RNA. RefSeq lists it as uncharacterized. The transcript is spliced from 5 exons. Lineage: Eukaryota; Viridiplantae; Streptophyta; Magnoliopsida; Asterales; Asteraceae. The record is from RefSeq and is a predicted model, not a curated record.